RNAcentral lists this ribosomal RNA (490 nucleotides) under uncultured bacterium. RNAcentral's name for it is "partial 16S ribosomal RNA". It matches the Rfam family "Bacterial small subunit ribosomal RNA", at positions 30 to 507 of the family's 1533-position model. The record is from RNAcentral.
AUUGAACGCUGGCGGCAGGCCUAACACAUGCAAGUCGAACGGUAACAGGAAGAAGCUUGCUUCUUUGCUGACGAGUGGCGGACGGGUGAGUAAUGUCUGGGAAACUGCCUGAUGGAGGGGGAUAACUACUGGAAACGGUAGCUAAUACCGCAUAACGUCGCAAGACCAAAGAGGGGGACCUUCGGGCCUCUUGCCAUCGGAUGUGCCCAGAUGGGAUUAGCUAGUAGGUGGGGUAACGGCUCACCUAGGCGACGAUCCCUAGCUGGUCUGAGAGGAUGACCAGCCACACUGGAACUGAGACACGGUCCAGACUCCUACGGGAGGCAGCAGUGGGGAAUAUUGCACAAAGGGCGCAAGCCUGAUGCAGCCAUGCCGCGUGUAUGAAGAAGGCCUUCGGGUUGUAAAGUACUUUCAGCGGGGAGGAAGGGAGUAAAGUUAAUACCUUGGCUCAUUGACGUUACCCGCAGAAGAAGCACCGGCUAACUCCGUG